Molecule: ribosomal RNA, 460 nt
Filed under: uncultured bacterium
Lineage: Bacteria
Description: partial 16S ribosomal RNA
Rfam family: Bacterial small subunit ribosomal RNA
Source: RNAcentral
CCUACGGGUGGCAGCAGUGAGGAAUAUUGGUCAAUGGGCGGGAGCCUGAACCAGCCAAGUCGCGUGAGGGAAGACGGUCCUACGGAUUGUAAACCUCUUUUGCCGGGGAGCAACGGGGUCCUUGCGAGGGCCCGACGAGAGUACCCGGAGAAAAAGCAUCGGCUAACUCCGUGCCAGCAGCCGCGGUAAUACGGAGGAUGCGAGCGUUAUCCGGAUUUAUUGGGUUUAAAGGGUGCGUAGGCGGGACGUUAAGUCAGCGGUAAAAUUGCGGUGCUCAACGCCGUAGAGCCGUUGAAACUGGGGUUCUUGAGUGAGCGAGAAGUAUGCGGAAUGCGUGGUGUAGCGGUGAAAUGCAUAGAUAUCACGCAGAACCCCGAUUGCGAAGGCAGCAUACCGGCGCUCAACUGACGCUGAGGCACGAAAGUGCGGGUAUCGAACAGGAUUAGAUACCCGUGUAGUC